UACAUAGGAUGCAAGCGUUAUCCGGAUUUACUGGGCGUAAAGCGAGCGCGGGCGGAUUUGCAAGUCUGGUGUUAAAUACAACUGCUUAACGGUUGUAUGCAUUGGAAACUGCAAGUCUAGAGUGUAGUAGGGAGUUUUGGAACUCCAUGUGGAGCGGUGGAAUGCGUAGAUAUAUGGAAGAACACCAGUGGCGAAGGCGAAAACUUAGGCUACAACUGACGCUUAGGCUCGAAAGUGUGGGGAGCAAAUAG
Molecule: ribosomal RNA, 251 nt
Filed under: uncultured bacterium
Lineage: Bacteria
Description: partial 16S ribosomal RNA
Rfam family: Bacterial small subunit ribosomal RNA
Source: RNAcentral